Molecule: long non-coding RNA, 934 nt
Filed under: Nicotiana benthamiana
Lineage: Eukaryota; Viridiplantae; Streptophyta; Magnoliopsida; Solanales; Solanaceae
Description: long non-coding RNA (NBEN_LNC013571)
Source: RNAcentral
UUUCUUUCACACAAACAUAUUUGGUGCUCUUUAUUGUUUUAUACAACUUCUUUCACUUUCCUACUGAAUGUUGAUUACUCAAUUGGCUGAAAGCCAAGAUUGAGUAACCCUUGUCACUUUUACCACUCUGCUGGCCUCUGCUGUGUUGCUUGUUUUGGUCUACCUGCUGCUUACUUCUUUGCAUACUGCCGCCAUGCUCUCUGCUCCUGUAUGCACACUAUUGCUCACUUCUCUGCAUAUUAUUGCUCACUAUUGCUCUGUGUCACAUUAUUUUCAACUAGUAUGUAUCAUAUUUAAGUUACAGUCUCAAAACAAUAUGCUUCUAUUGGUGCUGCACUUUCUUUUGUUCCUUGUGUGCUUCCACUUAUGGUUAUGUUGUUCCUAUUGUAACUAGUAUAUAUCUGUGCUAAUUAGUAGGCCUAUAUUAACAUGGCAUGUUCAUUACCCCCUUUCCUAUCCCAAUGCAUGUUUCCCCUUGCUUCUGUAUACUACUAGCAUGUGUUCAGAUCCUCUUGGCUACUCCAUAGCCCCAAAAACCUCUUCCUAAGGAUGAUUUGGUUUGGUGUCUGGUGCUAUUAGAACUGGACUCUUAGUUUGAAGCAUGAAAUCUUCUCUAAUGUGUUAUACAUGUGUGAUUGGUUCUCUUGCUUGUGAGCUAUUUGUUCCCCUUACCUUUGCCAUUGUUUGUGUGACUGUUGCUUUCAAAACUGGCCCAUAUUAACUAUUUUCAAACUCAAUUGAUUUCUUCACUCCUCUACUGUUUUCUCGAGCUGUCCUUCAUGUAAAAAAAACUUUUCCAACUCAACUCCUUUAAAUUCCAUCACAAUCACACUACUCUUAGAAUUUAGGUUUUGCCCCCUUAAUGUAAGCAUUGCUUUGGGUAUCUUGAAUACUCACUGAACUUUGAUGCACUAGGUUGGAAAUUCCACACUUG